AGAGUUUGAUCAUGGCUCAGGAUGAAACGCUAGCUACAGGCUUAACACAUGCAAGUCGAGGGGAAACGACAUCGAAAGCUUGCUUUUGAUGGGCGUCGACCGGCGCACGGGUGAGUAACGCGUAUCCAGCCUGCCCACCACUUGGGGGUAACCUUGCGAAAGUAAGACUAAUACCCAAUGACGUCUCUAGAAGACAUCUGAAGGAGAUUAAAGAUUUAUCGGUGAUGGAUGGGGAUGCGUCUGAUUAGCUUGUUGGCGGGGUAACGGCCACCAAGGCGACGAUCAGUAGGGGUUCUGAGAGGAAGGUCCCCCACAUUGGAACUGAGACACGGUCCAAACUCCUACGGGAGGCGA
This 354-nucleotide ribosomal RNA is filed under the name uncultured bacterium. RNAcentral describes it as "bacterial SSU rRNA". It matches the Rfam family "Bacterial small subunit ribosomal RNA", at positions 8 to 351 of the family's 1533-position model. The record is from RNAcentral.